Molecule: long non-coding RNA, 1189 nt
Organism: Lineus longissimus
Lineage: Eukaryota; Metazoa; Nemertea; Pilidiophora; Heteronemertea; Lineidae
Exons: 3
Source: RefSeq, a predicted model, not a curated record
GUGUCAUUGUGGAAUGAAGCCCGGGACGCGUAGUAGCAGAGCAUGCCGAUUCACCGUCGUUGUGCGUAGGACUGAUAUUCACCGCCGAUAAGUCGGCAUGUAGCAGAGUGAAAGUCUCUUCCAGUUAAACCUGAUACAGUGGGUGAAGACGGGUGGAGCGGGUGGAGACAUCGUGAUCAUCAAGAUGAAGAUUCUCAAGUUCCCGCCUUUUCCGGGAGAAACUAACAGGUGUCCGAUUUGUCGCCGGAGAUUCCGCUUCAAAUUCGGCCAACUGAUACACCUCCGAGAGUGUCAUGAUGUGGAUAAAUUCAGCCCCGUGUACAAGAAGGCCCCCAGACCAACUUGCAACCCUGAGGACGUGAUAGCGUGCGCUGCAUGUCUGAGCAAUUUCAACUCGAAGCGGAGUUUACGAAAUCAUAGCAGUCGGUGCCGAAAUAGAGACUGGUAUCUUGAUGACAUUUCUCAUGCUGGAGAAAGGUGUACAGAAUGUGAUAAAAGCUUUGGGUCCUUCAAUGAACUGAUCAUACAUACUAUUAACCAUAUUGAGGACAAAAGAACAUUCUUGUCUUCUUUGACGUCGGAACUCAAAAUACAUCUAGGCCGAAUAUUGAUUUAGUGAUCCUUAUUGACCACCAUAAUUUAUAUGUUUUCACCCAUAAAGAUAAAGGUUUUUGAGCUUUUCAGAAACCUUUUUUGGGAGUUUUCAGCCAACAAUAAAUGUACCCUCCAUAGAGGUUUUUUAGAAAAAUGAAAAACCAGCUCGUGAAAGACCACUGGAUUAAAUACAUGUAUUUGCUCAAAAACCUUUAAUUUUAUGUAUGAUGGAGCAAUAACUAACUGCUGGCUGAAGCUGUGUUUUAGCAUUUCGAUCUGCCGUCGUUGUGCGUAUAUUCACCCUUCACAAAAAGUAGGAGACUUUAGGAUUGAUCUAUGUGUUUUAACUUCGCCAGGUAUUUUAAAAAAAAUGAAAUUAUAGUCAUGUUGUAUAUUAUAUGUCUAUAUAUUAUUGUUUCGAAAAGGGCAUUAAAUAUUUAUCAAUACGAAAAUGGAGCAUGAGACUACAUAUUGUUUUCUUUCUUUAUUCAAAAUUAAAAAUGUGGAGGAAAGAGGAAAUAGUCCUAAAGGGUAUUGAGUCACAGGAAUCUUCAGUGAAGGAAUCAUACCCAGGUAAGUCAAAACAUAAGUCAUG